This 1022-nucleotide long non-coding RNA is filed under the name Homo sapiens (human). RNAcentral's name for it is "non-protein coding lnc-A1BG-1:11". The record is from RNAcentral. Lineage: Eukaryota; Metazoa; Chordata; Mammalia; Primates; Hominidae.
CUCGGGAACUUGCGCGGGAGGAGGCCCGGAGCUGCGCCGCUUUACCCUCUGCUCCCCGGUGCCUAAAACGCACACGCAUCAAAGUCACAGGACGAGUUAGAGGAGAAAGGCAGAGGGAGAUUUGAAACACAGAGGAGGUGAUGAGAAGACACAGCAGAAGAUAUCUGAAGACUGGAAAGAAUGCUGCAACCAACAGGAGAAGGAAAAGACAGAAAUGUGUUUUCCAUUUGGAGCAUCCAGAGGGAGCACAACCAUAUCAACACCUUGAUUUUGAUCCAGUGACAUUGAUUUUGGACUUGUGGCCUCCAGAACUUUUAGAGAAUAAAUUUGCAUUGUUUUAAGCCAACAGGUUGGUGGAAAUUUUUUACAGCAGCCACAGGAAGCAAACACAGACUCCUAACUGGUGCUUAGUCCUAGAAUAUCAGUUUCUGUUCCACUUCUGGAUCUCAUAAUUGCAUCUCAGACAUCAACACUGACUUCAUAUUCUUAAUGCACCAAUUCUACCAUUUCUUCAGGCUGCAAACAGAGAAAAACUUAUUUAAGCAUUCCAGAAUUGACCCAAUAGAAGACUCUCCAGAAAAGACUGCAUGGUCUCUGAAGCAGCAUGAUCAGCAUGACUGGCUGCAUCUGGGCUCCACCGUUUGCCACUUCAGACAGGUCCUUAGCCUCUUAGAGGUUCAUUUUCCUUGCUGUAGCCCGGAGUAAGAAUGUUUAGCCUACAAGAUUUAUUUUGAGGCAUCAAUGAAUCACUAUGUGAGCCUCACACAGUGUCUGGCACUGAUAUUACAAAAUAUGGUUGAUCUUGCCAUCCUUGUUAUUGUCCUGGUGGGGAUUCCUCUCUGUUGAAGAUACGGAGCCUCUAAAAAUGAGUGGCAGAGGCUCCCAGCUCAGGAUCCUUGUCCAGGUCCUAAAGAUCCUCCACUCUGCUUGUCACUCUGUUCAUUAUGUUUGCAUGGCCACCACGGUCAACACUACUGCGGCCUACCUCAAGUUCUCAUGCCUCACUCUCUGAGCUCAUGAGG